Molecule: ribosomal RNA, 484 nt
Filed under: uncultured bacterium
Lineage: Bacteria
Description: partial 16S ribosomal RNA
Rfam family: Bacterial small subunit ribosomal RNA
Source: RNAcentral
AUUGGACGCUGGCGGCAUGCUUUACACAUGCAAGUCGAACGGCAGCGCGGGCUUCGGCCUGGCGGCGAGUGGCGAACGGGUGAGUAAUGCAUCGGAACGUGCCCAGUAGUGGGGGAUAGCCCAGCGAAAGCCGGAUUAAUACCGCAUACGACCUGAGGGUGAAAGCGGGGGACCGAAAGGCCUCGCGCUAUUGGAGCGGCCGAUGUCGGAUUAGCUAGUUGGUGGGGUAAAGGCUUACCAAGGCGACGAUCCGUAGCUGGUCUGAGAGGACGACCAGCCACACUGGGACUGAGACACGGCCCAGACUCCUACGGGAGGCAGCAGUGGGGAAUUUUGGACAAUGGGGGCAACCCUGAUCCAGCCAUGCCGCGUGCGGGAAGAAGGCCUUCGGGUUGUAAACCGCUUUUGUUCGGGAAGAAAUCCUCUGGGCUAAUACCCCGGGGGGAUGACGGUACCGGAAGAAUAAGCACCGGCUAACUACGUG